RNAcentral lists this long non-coding RNA (239 nucleotides) under Gossypium barbadense (sea-island cotton). Its description in RNAcentral is "long non-coding RNA (GBAR_LNC013208)". Lineage: Eukaryota; Viridiplantae; Streptophyta; Magnoliopsida; Malvales; Malvaceae. The record is from RNAcentral.
UGAAAUGAAAAUGUUUAAAUUUAGAUAAAAUUGAGGAAAUUUUUUGAGGGAUAUAUUUGGGUCAUUUAAAUAAGAAUUAUAUACAUUUUAACCUUUUUAAAAAAAAUAAAAAAUGAGAAGGGUUUAUUUUUGUUAUUCUUAUAUCUUUUAAGAGUUAUUUAAAUUUAAUUUCAAAAGGUGAUAGAUCUAAAAUGCAAAUAGACCAAAAGUUUAAUUUGGUGCGGUGAUCCUUUUUUCAG